UACGUAGGGGGCGAGCGUUGUCCGGAAUUACUGGGCGUAAAGCGCGUGUAGGCGGAUAUUUAAGUCAGAUGUGAAAUACCGGGGCUCAACUCCGGGGCUGCAUCUGAAACUGGGUAUCUUGAGGGCAGGAGAGGAAAGUGGAAUUCCUGGUGUAGCGGUGAAAUGCGUAGAUAUCAGGAGGAACACCAGUGGCGAAGGCGACUUUCUGGACUGACCCUGACGCUGAGACGCGAAAGCGUGGGGAG
This 245-nucleotide ribosomal RNA is filed under the name uncultured Syntrophomonas sp. RNAcentral's name for it is "partial 16S ribosomal RNA". It matches the Rfam family "Bacterial small subunit ribosomal RNA", at positions 524 to 768 of the family's 1533-position model. Lineage: Bacteria; Bacillati; Bacillota; Clostridia; Eubacteriales; Syntrophomonadaceae. The record is from RNAcentral.